UACGUAGGGUGCAAGCGUUAAUCGGAAUUACUGGGCGUAAAGCGUGCGCAGGCGGUUCGUUAGGUUCGUUGUGAAAGCCCCGGGCUCAACCUGGGAACUGCAAUGGAAACUGGCGGGCUUGAAUGCGGCAGAGGGGGGUGGAAUUCCGCGUGUAGCAGUGAAAUGCGUAGAGAUGCGGAGGAACACCGAUGGCGAAGGCAGCCCCCUGGGCCGACAUUGACGCUCAGGCACGAAAGCGUGGGGAGCAAACAGG
Molecule: ribosomal RNA, 253 nt
Filed under: uncultured bacterium
Lineage: Bacteria
Description: partial 16S ribosomal RNA
Rfam family: Bacterial small subunit ribosomal RNA
Source: RNAcentral